Molecule: long non-coding RNA, 520 nt
Organism: Pan paniscus (pygmy chimpanzee)
Lineage: Eukaryota; Metazoa; Chordata; Mammalia; Primates; Hominidae
Source: Ensembl
CAUACUCCAUGCAUCAUAUAACCAGGCUUUGGAAAGGCUCUGAAGAAUGCACAUGGCAAUUGGAUCUAUUUUGUCCCAUCGUGGGAGUGAUAAAAGCAGAUAGUGAUCAUUCUAAGAUGCAAAACAAUGAACACACUCAAGCUGAUUUUGGAUUUGACCAUACACAUUUCUCAGAAGAGGGAGCUUUCCUGGAGAAGGUGAAGAAAGAGAAGGAUAUUUGGCAGUGCUGAUUGCAGCUCGCUCUAUGAGGACAUAUUCUCCUCAUCCACAGAAGCCCUUUUCAAACAUUACUAAGAAGUCUGAUAAGAAGAAAAAACAUCCACUGAUGGGUUCUCAGAAAGAAAGCAUUAGAUUUAACUACAGGGCAAUACUGCCCUGAUUACCACAGGCCCAGCUGACGGCAAGGUUGCCAGGCAGCUCUCGUCCUGCCAAGAAUGGUGGUGGAAUGAAGCAAGCAUGUGGUUUGUAUUACCAUUUUUCAGCUUUUUAAGGUUUAGAAAAGAGAACGUCACCAACAAUG